Molecule: transfer RNA, 73 nt
Filed under: Felis catus (domestic cat)
Lineage: Eukaryota; Metazoa; Chordata; Mammalia; Carnivora; Felidae
Rfam family: tRNA
About the family: Transfer RNA (tRNA) molecules are approximately 80 nucleotides in length. Their secondary structure includes four short double-helical elements and three loops (D, anti-codon, and T loops).
Source: Rfam by way of RNAcentral
GCCUGGUUGGCUCAGUCAGUAGAGCAUACAACUCUUAAUUUUAGGGUCAUGAGUUCAAGCCCCAUAUUGAGCA